UGAGCAAUCUGCCCUUCUCUUUGGAAUAAGCGUUGGAAACGACGUCUAAUGCCGAAUACGACCUCCUUUCGCAUGAUCGGAGGUGGAAAGCUCCGGCGGAGAAGGAUGAGCUCGCGGCCUGUCAGCUAGUUGGUGUGGGUAAUGGCCCACCAAGGCGACGAAGGGUAGCCGGCCUGAGAGGGUGACCGGCCACACGUGGGACUGAGACACAGCCCAGACCUCCGUACGGGAGCAG
Molecule: ribosomal RNA, 235 nt
Filed under: uncultured bacterium
Lineage: Bacteria
Description: partial 16S ribosomal RNA
Rfam family: Bacterial small subunit ribosomal RNA
Source: RNAcentral